Molecule: ribosomal RNA, 463 nt
Filed under: uncultured bacterium
Lineage: Bacteria
Description: partial 16S ribosomal RNA
Rfam family: Bacterial small subunit ribosomal RNA
Source: RNAcentral
GAUGAACGCUGACCGAAUGCUUAACACAUGCAAGUCUUUGGUGAAGCUGUGCUUGCACCGCCUAGCCAAGGCGGACGGGUGAGUAACGCGUAAGGAACUUGCCCUGCAGUCAGGGAUAACAGACGGAAACGACUGAUAAGACCUGGUAAAGUCAGGCGGACUCAUGUCCAGCCUGAUGAAAAGAGAUGCUGCAGGAGAGCCUUGCGUCCUAUUAGCUUGUUGGUGGGGUAACGGCCCACCAAGGCAAUGAUAGGUAGCCGGCCUGAGAGGGUGGACGGCCACAAGGGGACUGAGAGACGGCCCUUACUCCUACGGGAGGCAGCAGUGGGGAAUAUUGGACAAUGGGGGCAACCCUGAUCCAGCAAUUCUGUGUGCACGAUGAAGGUUUUCGGAGUGUAAAGUGCUUUCAGAAGGGAAGAAAAAAAUGACGGUACCUGCAGAAGAAGCGACGGCUAAAUACGUG